GAAAGAGGCUUGCUAGCAAUGAAAACUGCUAAUUUUCACUUUCCUGGUUGGACUCCAGGACUCACUCG
Molecule: transfer RNA, 68 nt
Filed under: Phanerodon furcatus (white seaperch)
Lineage: Eukaryota; Metazoa; Chordata; Actinopteri; Embiotocidae
Description: tRNA-Ser
Source: RNAcentral